CAUUAAGAAGCUUCUACAGCACUAGCCUUUUAAGCUAGAGAGGGGGAUUAAAAUUUUCCCCCUUAAUGAA
RNAcentral lists this transfer RNA (70 nucleotides) under Brachymeles mindorensis. RNAcentral's name for it is "tRNA-Lys". It matches the Rfam family "tRNA". Rfam says of the family: Transfer RNA (tRNA) molecules are approximately 80 nucleotides in length. Their secondary structure includes four short double-helical elements and three loops (D, anti-codon, and T loops). The record is from RNAcentral. Lineage: Eukaryota; Metazoa; Chordata; Lepidosauria; Squamata; Scincidae.